GAUGAACGCUGGCGGCGUGCCUAAUACAUGCAAGUCGAGCGAACGGACGAGAAGCUUUCUUCUCUGAUGUUAGCGGCGGACGGGUGAGUACCACGUGGCUAACCUACCUAUACGACUGGGAUACCUUCGGGCAACCCUAGCUAAUACCGGAUACUAUUCUGAACCGCAUGGUUCAAAAGUGAAAGACGGUCUUGCUGUCACUUAUAGAUGGAUCCGCGCUGCUUUAGCUAGUUGGUAAGGUAACGGCUUACCAAGGCAACGAUGCAUAGCCGACCUGAGAGGGUGAUCGGCCACACGGGAACUGAGACACGGUACAGACGCCUAGGGGAGGAAGCAGGAGGGAGGCUGCCGCAAUGGGAGAAAGCCUGACGGCGAAACGCCGCGCGAGUGAGGAAGGUCGCCAGUUCGGAAGACCUGUUUACUAGGGAAGAACAUACGUGUAAGGAAUCGUGCAGGUCUGGACGGUAACGAAUCAGAAAACAGCGGUUAACUGCGU
RNAcentral lists this ribosomal RNA (496 nucleotides) under uncultured bacterium. Its description in RNAcentral is "partial 16S ribosomal RNA". It matches the Rfam family "Bacterial small subunit ribosomal RNA", at positions 28 to 506 of the family's 1533-position model. The record is from RNAcentral.